This 254-nucleotide ribosomal RNA is filed under the name uncultured prokaryote. RNAcentral describes it as "partial 16S ribosomal RNA". It matches the Rfam family "Bacterial small subunit ribosomal RNA", at positions 524 to 776 of the family's 1533-position model. The record is from RNAcentral.
UACGUAGGUGGCAAGCGUUGUUCGGAAUUAUUGGGCGUAAAGGGCGCGUAGGCGGCCACCGCAAGUCACUUGUGAAAUCUCCGGGCUUAACCCGGAAAGGUCAACUGAUACUGCGGGGCUAGAGUGCAGAAGGGGCAACUGGAAUUCUCGGUGUAGCGGUGAAAUGCGUAGAUAUCUGGAGGAACACCGGUGGCGAAGGCGGCAUCCUGGACCGGUAUUGACGCUGAGGCGCGAAAGCCAGGGGAGCAAACGGG